This 492-nucleotide ribosomal RNA is filed under the name uncultured bacterium. RNAcentral's name for it is "partial 16S ribosomal RNA". It matches the Rfam family "Bacterial small subunit ribosomal RNA", at positions 29 to 507 of the family's 1533-position model. The record is from RNAcentral.
AGUGAACGCUGGCGGUAGGCCUAACACAUGCAAGUCGAACGGCAGCACAGUAAGAGCUUGCUCUUACGGGUGGCGAGUGGCGGACGGGUGAGGAAUACGUCGGAAUCUACUUUUUCGUGGGGGAUAACGUAGGGAAACUUACGCUAAUACCGCAUACGACCUACGGGUGAAAGCAGGGGAUCUUCGGACCUUGUGCGAUUGAAUGAGCCGAUGUCGGAUUAGCUAGUUGGCGGGGUAAAUGCCCACCAAGGCGACGGUCCGUAGCUGGUCUGAGAGGAUGAUCGGCGACACUGGAAGUGAGACACGGUCCAGGCUCCUACGGGAGGCAGCAGUGGGGAAUAGUGGACAAAGGGCGCAAGCAUGAUCCAGCCGUACCGAGUGGGUGAAGGAGGCCUUCGGGUUGUAAAGCCCUUUUGUUGGGAAAGAAAAGCAGCAGGUUAAUACCCCGCUGUUCUGACGGUACCCAAAGAAUAAGCACCGGCUAACUUCGUG